Molecule: ribosomal RNA, 253 nt
Filed under: uncultured bacterium
Lineage: Bacteria
Description: partial 16S ribosomal RNA
Rfam family: Bacterial small subunit ribosomal RNA
Source: RNAcentral
UACGUAGGGUGCGAGCGUUGUCCGGAAUUAUUGGGCGUAAAGGGCUCGUAGGCGGUUUGUCGCGUCGGGAGUGAAAACUCAGGGCUUAACCCUGAGCCUGCUUCCGAUACGGGCAGACUAGAGGUAUGCAGGGGAGAACGGAAUUCCUGGUGUGGCGGUGAAAUGCGCAGAUAUCAGGAGGAACACCGGUGGCGAAGGCGGUUCUCUGGGCAUUACCUGACGCUGAGGAGCGAAAGUGUGGGGAGCAAACAGG